CAAAGUGUAGCUUAAAUCAAAGCACCCAGCUUACACCCGGGAGAUAUCAGACUAACAGAUCACUUUGAA
This 69-nucleotide transfer RNA is filed under the name Peropteryx kappleri (greater dog-like bat). Its description in RNAcentral is "tRNA-Val". It matches the Rfam family "tRNA". Rfam says of the family: Transfer RNA (tRNA) molecules are approximately 80 nucleotides in length. Their secondary structure includes four short double-helical elements and three loops (D, anti-codon, and T loops). Further hydrogen bonds mediate the characteristic L-shaped molecular structure. tRNAs have two regions of fundamental functional importance: the anti-codon, which is responsible for specific mRNA codon recognition, and the 3' end, to which the tRNAs corresponding amino acid is attached (by aminoacyl-tRNA synthetases). tRNAs cope with the degeneracy of the genetic code in two manners: having more than one tRNA (with a specific anti-codon) for a particular amino acid; and 'wobble' base-pairing, i.e. permitting non-standard base-pairing at the 3rd anti-codon position. Lineage: Eukaryota; Metazoa; Chordata; Mammalia; Chiroptera; Emballonuridae. The record is from RNAcentral.